Molecule: non-coding RNA, 20 nt
Filed under: Arabidopsis thaliana (thale cress)
Lineage: Eukaryota; Viridiplantae; Streptophyta; Magnoliopsida; Brassicales; Brassicaceae
Also listed under: 1 other name
Source: RNAcentral
GGUGUCAGAAAAGUUACCAC